Molecule: microRNA, 20 nt
Filed under: Capra hircus (goat)
Lineage: Eukaryota; Metazoa; Chordata; Mammalia; Artiodactyla; Bovidae
Description: chi-miR-1248-5p
Source: miRBase by way of RNAcentral
ACCUUCUUGUAUAAGCACUG